This is a long non-coding RNA of Musa acuminata AAA Group (dessert banana), 2516 nucleotides long. RefSeq lists it as uncharacterized. The transcript has 2 exons. The record is from RefSeq and is a predicted model, not a curated record. NCBI's taxonomy places the organism in Eukaryota, Viridiplantae, Streptophyta, Magnoliopsida, Zingiberales, Musaceae.
CUACUCCUCAGGCUCAUCUCCUCUAUCCUCACCCUGUUGAGGAAAUCGAAGUAGGACACCUCCACACUGUACAUGAGGGAUGGGAUGUGGCUCAUCUGCUUCGUUAUCUUCUCCACAACCUGAAACAGGAAUACCACCGUCAUGGACAGCAAACUCGAUGCAGUAGUAGACCUUAUGGAACUCGGGCACGAAGCCCAGGUGAGCCGGGAAGGCAAUGGAGGUGCCGAGGAGGGACAGCUGGUUUGGAACUAUGAACCCCUCGAGAUAGUCCACCAAGUCCGGCAUGGAGAGCAGCAACUCUUGGUCUCUGGUGAAGGUGUCGAAGUCAUCGUAAAAGGCUCUGGCCCAUCUCACCUGGUCGUGACAGAAGAAGCCAUAUUCCAAAAGCAGAAUCAGUACCUUGGUUGAUGACAUGCAAAAGGGAACACUGACAACUUCUCUAAAUUACUUUCUGUGGAGCAUCUUGGAGAAGGAUCCUUGCUCUUGUUAUGAUGCCAAACUGGCCUAACCCGCCAAGAACUGCAUAGAAAAGCUCCGAGUUUUUGGUGGGUGAGCAUGUCAUCAGUUCUCCCUUGCCUGUUAGAAUCCAAGCGUGUCAGUCAACCACAUCAGAAGAAGAGAAGAAAAAGAGAACCGUUGCUUUCUUCGAUCCGAAUUACCUGUUACCACAUCUAGUUGAAGGACAUUGCUGAUCUGAGGUCCAUAUUUGAAGGUUUGGCCACUGACACCACCAUGGGAGAGAGUCCCACCAAUGCUGAGAUAAAGGUAAUCGGUCCAAGACCUUGGAGCCAGCCCAACCUUCAAGCUCUCCUCUAAAAGCUCGAUCCAGAGAGCACCACCACUGAUAUCGGCAUGAGAGAAGCCGGCUUCAUCAUCUCCCUUUUUGUGGAUGUAUAUGUCAGAGGGGAUAGAAUCCAUCUCGAUGACGAUUCCAUCAAGAGCUUGGGCUUGGCCAUGGAUGGAGUGUCCAGCUCCUCUCGCUGCAACUGUGACUUCGCCGAAGGAGGAAGCAGAGAGGAAGGUGAGGAGGAGUGAGAUGUCCUUGGGGGAUCGGGGCUUCAGGACUGCAGAGGGAGAGUUGAAGACGAGUCUCCCGAAGUCCAAGGAUGCUGCUGUGUUUCUGGUGUGGAGGAAGUCCGAGGAGCCAAAGUCCAUGGGACUCUGGAUGAACUUGCAUGGAGAACAGAGAGCCAGAACGAGGAUAAGGAUAUUGACCUUGGUGCAGAACAGAGCCAACUCCAUGGAGAGGAAGAACUAAUCAACUGAAAUGAUGACUUCUAUAUUCUCAUUGGGUCAAGGAAGCAACAAGCGGAGAAGAAGAGACUCAAUAUACUUCACCAAGCUGGGUUGGCAGUUGGAAUAGCAAUAAGAAAACAUCCAUCAGAGCAGAACAUCUCAUCAGCCUUUCUUCUUCAUAGGCAUUCUACUGCAGGUUCUUAUGAAGAUAGCUCUCACAAGAAAGAAAGAGCAACCUUGAGCUGGGAACUAUGGUAGAGGAUAGUUUGUAUAUAUCUAGACAGAAAUGACCUGGAUAACUGGAGAGAAGUGAGAAAAAGAAGUGGCACAAAAUUAAGGUUAUUAAGUAGGGAACGAGAUGCAAUCAGGUGGCUGUGAGGUAUGAUUAAAGGAGAACACUAAAUUCUGUGCCUCCUACAAACAAUGAGAAUAGGGAAUUAAAAGAGGUCCACAGUAAAACAUGGAUCAGGAGAAGGAAGACAAGAACCAAACAGCUUUGUCAGUGAAAGAGAUAUGAGGAUAGAUCUUACGACACUCUUUCUGUUGGGGGCAUUUGCAUUUAUAUGACUGCUGUGGGGGAAGAUAGUUCAGAAUCCAAUGGGGCCACAAAUCCAGCAAGAGAAGGAUACAUGUGAGACUCUUCACCUCAUAUUUCCUAACCUCAACACCCUUUUUUUUUGGGUUCUUUUUCCCCCUCUUGGCAUCCUCCUCUCCUUAUCCUGCAAUAAUAAUGAAGAGCCCCUCCCCCCCCUCAAGUCAUUCUUUCCCUUGAUCUCAUCCACCUGCACUGUUUGAGUGUGCUGGCUGCCUCUAAUAACCAAUGUGUGGGUGCAGUGCUGUCACCACUGUGAGUGAUGAUGAGACUUGAAAGUGCACCAUUGAGAGUCUCUGAUUCCUUCUGUUACUGUUGACCGAGAUCACUUAAGAGUGACAUGGAUAACCAAAUCUUUUGCAGUGUACUGUACUGAGUAGGACUGUGGCAGGGUCCCCAGCCCUAGUGACGAUGAUUGGCCACCACCCACCCUAGAGGAUGUCCACGGUUUGUGUGGUAGGAAUCUGAGAGCUUUUUACAGUUGGAAAGUGCCAACCUUCUUCUUCUUCUUCUUCUUUGAUUGCAUGCAGUGGUUUCAUAUUCCGGUGCUGUUACCAUCAUUUCUAUGCUCAAAAUUUGGUAGAUCCUCCUGUCAUACUGUUUUACUUCAGCUGUUUAAAAUGAUGAUUCUGUAUUUGGCUCUUCAAUUUCAGAAACAAUUCUUGGAGUGGAAGGUGUGGUAUAUCCA